RNAcentral lists this ribosomal RNA (499 nucleotides) under uncultured bacterium. RNAcentral's name for it is "bacterial SSU rRNA". It matches the Rfam family "Bacterial small subunit ribosomal RNA", at positions 899 to 1397 of the family's 1533-position model. The record is from RNAcentral.
ACUCAAAUGAAUUGACGGGGACCCGCACAAGCGGUGGAGCAUGUGGUUUAAUUCGAAGCAACGCGAAGAACCUUACCAGGUCUUGACAUCCCGAUGACCGGCCCGUAACGGGGCCUUCUCUUCGGAGCAUUGGAGACAGGUGGUGCAUGGUUGUCGUCAGCUCGUGUCGUGAGAUGUUGGGUUAAGUCCCGCAACGAGCGCAACCCUUAUCCUCAGUAGCCAGCAGGUAAAGCUGGGCACUCUGUGGAGACUGCCAGGGAUAACCUGGAGGAAGGUGGGGAUGACGUCAAAUCAUCAUGCCCCUUAUGAUCUGGGCUACACACGUGCUACAAUGGCGUAAACAAAGGGAGGCAAAGCCGCGAGGUGGAGCAAAUCCCAAAAAUAACGUCUCAGUUCGGACUGCAGUCUGCAACUCGACUGCACGAAGCUGGAAUCGCUAGUAAUCGCGAAUCAGAAUGUCGCGGUGAAUACGUUCCCGGGUCUUGCACACACCGCCCGU